GAAGGAUUGUUUCUUUUAGGAUGAUAUGUGAGAAAUGAGAAUUAGAAAUACUAAUGGUAUGAUAUGCUGUCUACCCAUUUUCCCACACUACUUGAGAAGACAGGAAAAGGCCCUCAUGUAUAAUCUGACAGGUCACAAAAAUAUCUGAUUUCAAAGAGAUGCUCGUAUUCUGUGCUGAUGCCAUCUAAGAAUGCAAAUGCUCAAAUGUGACACUGCUAAGUGGAAAAAGGUACUUAGCGAUAGUGGCUGGAGUAGAGAAAAGAAAUCAGCACUGCUCUGUAGAUGUGCCCAGGAGGAGUUCCUACUGUUUGAAGACCUGGUAAAUGAUUACAACCUUCAACCAGGUUUGAGAACAAUAGACCUUUUGAUAGGACCAUAUCAAUGUUCCCCUUUUGCCAGUCUUGGAAUAUAUUCAUUUAUUUAUCUGUAUUCAAAGAAAAAUUUAUAAAAACAAAUAUAUAUUAAUGCAACAUUAUGUGAAAAUAUCUUCAUGGUUCUUAGGAUUCCAAAUACAGAGAAUCCAUCAUGAAUAUUCAUAGUAGAGUUAACUGGGUUGCAUAUUCUUGUUUGCACUGAAAAUUUAUGGCAAUAAGUAAAACUUCCUUGCAUAUAAAUUCUUCUGACUACUUACUUUCAACAUGUUUUGCUUUCCAUCACUAUUUAUAAAGUCCAUUUAUUCUGCAUUUUGCAAAUGAGUGAAACUUCAUCAAAAUGAUGUGAGACAAAGAAUCUAUUAUUCCAUAACCCAAGUGAAGAAGAGAGAAAAAGAUCAUAAACUAAGAACAAAAAGAGACAGAAAGAAAAAAAUGAAAAAAAAAUAAUGCAUCAGUGGUUAUAAAUGCAUUGGAUGUGGGGAUCUCUUAUGAUGCUGAAGUGUAUUAAAAUUAAGUCAUUUUCCCAAAACUCAAAGAAUCAAAAUUACUUUAUUCUGAUGCACAAUAAACACAAAGGCAAGGUUGCCA
This 962-nucleotide long non-coding RNA is filed under the name Oryctolagus cuniculus (rabbit). RNAcentral describes it as "lncRNA (ENSOCUG00000033299.1)". Lineage: Eukaryota; Metazoa; Chordata; Mammalia; Lagomorpha; Leporidae. The record is from RNAcentral.